AUGUGGUUAGUGGUCCAUGGCAAGUGUCUGACGGCGGAUAAUCUUGCACGCAGAGGUUGGCCCAGGAAUCCUUCUUGCCCUCUUUGUCUGUCACAACCUAAGGAUUGCACACACUUGUUUGUGCAUUGCCGAUACACGCAGCAGCUUUGGGGCUUGCUGAAAUCCUGGACUGGGGUGCAGUUCAUUAUGCCGGACGAUCGACACGGCUGCACGGAGGAGUGGUGGCUUGAGGCCAGAGCGGGCGUACCUAAACCAAUGCGCCGCAAUUUUGACACCAUUACGAUCUUGAUGCACUUGAGACUGUGGAAGGAGAGGAACUCCAGAGUGUUUGAUCACCUGGCAAGCAGUGCAGAAAGAGUACUGGACGUAGUCCGUGAAGACAUAGCAGUGUGGCGAUCUGCGGGUUGCAUUACAGACUUGGGUCAUUAG
RNAcentral lists this ribosomal RNA (429 nucleotides) under Triticum aestivum (bread wheat). Its description in RNAcentral is "partial small subunit ribosomal RNA". The record is from RNAcentral. Lineage: Eukaryota; Viridiplantae; Streptophyta; Magnoliopsida; Poales; Poaceae.